UGAGGAAUAUUGGUCAAUGGGCGAGAGCCUGAACCGGCCAAGUCGCGUGAAGGAUGACUGUCUUAUGGAUUGUAAACUUCUUUUAUACGGGAAUAACAAGAGUCACGUGUGACUCCCUGGUUGUACCGUAUGAAUAAGCAUCGGCUAACUCCGUGCCAGCAGCCGCGGUAAUACGGAGGAUGCGAGCGUUAUCCGGAUUUAUUGGGUUUAAAGGGUGCGUAANNGGCCUGUUAAGUCAUCGGUGAAAUCUUGGAGCUUAACUCCUAAAUUGCCGUUGAUACUGGCGGGCUUGAGUGUAGAUGAGGUAGGCGGAAUGCGUGGUGUAGCGGUGGAAUGCAUAGAUAUCACGCAGAACUCCGAUUGCGAAGGCAGCUUACUAAGGUACAACUGACGCUGAAGCACGAAAGCGUGGGUAUCAAACAGGAUUAGAUACCCUGGUAGUCCACGCAGUAUGNCGAUGAUAACUGGGCGUAUGCGAUAUACAGUAUGCUCCUAAGCGAAAGCGUUUAAGUUAUCCACCUGGGGAGUACGCCGGCAACGGUG
Molecule: ribosomal RNA, 543 nt
Filed under: uncultured bacterium
Lineage: Bacteria
Description: bacterial SSU rRNA
Rfam family: Bacterial small subunit ribosomal RNA
Source: RNAcentral